This 505-nucleotide ribosomal RNA is filed under the name uncultured bacterium. RNAcentral describes it as "partial 16S ribosomal RNA". It matches the Rfam family "Bacterial small subunit ribosomal RNA", at positions 28 to 507 of the family's 1533-position model. The record is from RNAcentral.
GACGAACGCUGGCGGCGUGCCUAAUACAUGCAAGUAGAACGCACAGUUUAUACCGUAGCUUGCUACACCAUAGACUGUGAGUUGCGAACGGGGGAGUAACGCGUAGGUAACCUGCCUGGUAGCGGGGGGUAACUAUUGGAAACGAUAGCUAAUACCGCAUAAUAUUGAUUAUUGCAUGAUAAUUGAUUGAAAGAGGCUAUUGCAUCACUACCAGAUGGACCUGCGUUGUAUUAGCUAGUAGGGGAGGUAACGGCCCACCUAGGCGGCGAUACAUAGCCGAGCUGGGGGGGUGGUCGGCCCCCCUGGGACUGGGACCCGGCCCCGACUCCUUCGGGAGGCCGCCGUAGGGGAUCUUCGGCCAUGGGCGGCAGGCUGAACGAGCAACGCCGCGGGGGGGGAGAAGGUUUUCGGAUCGUAAAGCUCUGUUUUAAGGGAAGAACGGGUGUGAGAGUGGAAAGUUCACACUGUGACGGUAUCUUACCAGAAAGGGACGGCUAACUACGUG